ACAUGGCCGACGCCGAUCAAAGUGUAGUAUCUGUUCUUAUCAGCUUAAUAUCUGAUACGGGUUGUAUUUGGACCCAAGAUAUUAAACUUACUUUUGCAAGUUGGCGGAGUGCUUUAAUUUAGCCUGCUUCACCGCCUCCGCGUGUUCGGCCCGGUAUUACGCUAUCUUCGGGAUCGGACCACGGUUU
Molecule: small nuclear RNA, 187 nt
Organism: Dermacentor silvarum
Lineage: Eukaryota; Metazoa; Arthropoda; Arachnida; Ixodida; Ixodidae
Product: U2 spliceosomal RNA
Exons: 1
Source: RefSeq, a predicted model, not a curated record